GGUCGAGGCAGGCAUCAAGGAUUGAAAGUCGUACAUUUAUUUCCUUCACCAGGUGAUCAGCUGCAUUUUGCAGUCCCUUUUUAAAAUUAAAUUUAUUCGAUUUUCUCAAUUUUUAUUUGUCGAUAGAUUAAUUGAUAGAUUACCGUAGCGCGACGGGGUAAGAGUUCUCAUAUUUCCUUGAGAACUUACUUGGCUUAAAUUUACUUGGCUGUAUGUGAUACGUGCCAAGUUUGAGCAGGAGUUAAGGUGAGAAUGACGAGUUGGGUAAGGAAAGUAAACCUCAAUUGUCGGUGAACUCAUUCAGCACUGCCUAGGAAGUCGUCACCUUGUGUAUUAAGGAGCGUUCAUCAAUGAGUAUUUCAGGGGCUGAGGGGGUAAAGGUGGAGUAUUCUAUCUGACGAUGAAACAAACAAGGACAUACCCGAGAUGAGCUGCUUCCAGUGGCCUUUUCUUCUGAGUAUUUUCAAGGGGUCGUGUGUUCCGUGAAGUUGCUGUCCGAUCAUGUGGGACGUUGUUGCAGCCUAUGCUGGUGAAAGAUCUUUAUGCAUUAAUUUAAACUGGCUGUUCCUUGGUGCUGGUGUCGUGUUACCGAAGUUGCAUCAUUAUUUUGUUAAAUUGUCAUUGGGUCUGUUUACCAGUUAUAUGUUAAGAAGGAACA
Long non-coding RNA from Daphnia pulicaria, 658 nucleotides. RefSeq lists it as uncharacterized. The transcript has 2 exons. NCBI's taxonomy places the organism in Eukaryota, Metazoa, Arthropoda, Branchiopoda, Diplostraca, Daphniidae. The record is from RefSeq and is a predicted model, not a curated record.